Molecule: ribosomal RNA, 825 nt
Filed under: uncultured bacterium
Lineage: Bacteria
Description: bacterial SSU rRNA
Rfam family: Bacterial small subunit ribosomal RNA
Source: RNAcentral
ACAUAGGUUGCUUGCAACCUGAUGACGAGUGGCGCACGGGUGCGGAACGCGUAUGGAACCUGCCCCUGUCAGGGGAAUAGCCCAUGGAAACGUGGAUUAAUGCCCCAUGGUACCUCUUUAUUGCAUGAUAGGGAGGUUAAAGAUUUAUCGGACAGGGAUGGCCAUGCGUACCAUUAGCUAGUUGGUAGGGUAACGGCCUACCAAUGCAACGAUGGUUAGGGGCCCUGAGAGGGGGAUCCCCCACACUGGCACUGAGACACGGACCAGACUCCUACGGGAGGCAGCAGUGAGGAAUAUUGGACAAUGGUCGGAAGACUGAUCCAGCCAUGCCGCGUGCAGGAUGACGGCCCUAUGGGUUGUAAACUGCUUUUGUACGGGAAGAAACCCAGGUACGUGUACCUGGUUGACGGUACCGUAAGAAUAAGGACCGGCUAACUCCGUGCCAGCAGCCGCGGUAAUACGGAGGGUCCGAGCGUUAUCCGGAAUCAUUGGGUUUAAAGGGUCCGUAGGCGGGCCUGUAAGUCAGAGGUGAAAGGCCACGGCUCAACCGUGGGACUGCCUUUGAUACUGCAGGUCUUGAGUCAUGGUGGGGUUGCCGGAACAUGUGGUGUAGCGGUGAAAUGCAUAGAUAUCACAUAGAACACCGAUCGCGAAGGCAGGUGGCCAACCAUGUACUGACGCUGAUGGACGAAAGCGUGGGGAGCGAACGGGAUUAGAUACCCCGGUAGUCCACGCCGUAAACGAUGGACACUAGCUGUGGGGGUCUUCGGACUCCGUGGCCAAGCGAAAGUGAUAAGUGUCCCACCUGGGGAGUACGUUCGCAAG